UGGCGGCGUGCCUAAUACAUGCAAGUCGAGCGGACAGAAGGGAGCUUGCUCCCGGAUGUUAGCGGCGGACGGGUGAGUAACACGUGGGUAACCUGCCUGUAAGACUGGGAUAACUCCGGGAAACCGGAGCUAAUACCGGAUAGUUCCUUGAACCGCAUGGUUCAAGGAUGAAAGACGGUUUCGGCUGUCACUUACAGAUGGACCCGCGGCGCAUUAGCUAGUUGGUGAGGUAACGGCUCACCAAGGCGACGAUGCGUAGCCGACCUGAGAGGGUGAUCGGCCACACUGGGACUGAGACACGGCCCAGACUCCUACGGGAGGCAGCAGUAGGGAAUCUUCCGCAAUGGACGAAAGUCUGACGGAGCAACGCCGCGUGAGUGAUGAAGGUUUUCGGAUCGUAAAGCUCUGUUGUUAGGGAAGAACAAGUGCAAGAGUAACUGCUUGCACCUUGACGGUACCUAACCAGAAAGCCACGGCUAACUACGUGCCA
RNAcentral lists this ribosomal RNA (490 nucleotides) under marine sediment bacterium ISA-7319. RNAcentral's name for it is "bacterial SSU rRNA". It matches the Rfam family "Bacterial small subunit ribosomal RNA", at positions 37 to 510 of the family's 1533-position model. The record is from RNAcentral.